CAGGUCACUCCUACGGGAGGCAGCAGUAGGGAAUCUUGCGCAAUGGGCGAAAGCCUGACGCAGCCAUGCCGCGUGAAUGAUGAAGGUCUUAGGAUUGUAAAAUUCUUUCACCGGGGAAGAUAAUGACGGUACCCGGAGAAGAAGCCCCGGCUAACUUCGUGCCAGCAGCCGCGGUAAUACGAAGGGGGCUAGCGUUGCUCGGAAUUACUGGGCGUAAAGGGCGCGUAGGCGGAUACUUAAGUUGGGGGUGAAAGCCCGGGGCUCAACCUCGGAAUUGCCUUCAAUACUGGGUAUCUUGAGUUCGGGAGAGGUGAGUGGAAUGCCGAGUGUAGAGGUGAAAUUCGUAGAUAUUCGGCGGAACACCAGUGGCGAAGGCGACUCACUGGCCCGAUACUGACGCUGAGGCGCGAAAGCGUGGGGAGCAAACAGGAUUAGAUACCCUGGUAGUCCACGCUGUAAACGAUGAGUGCUAGUUGUCGGCAUGCAUGCAUGUCGGUGACGCAGCUAACGCAUUAAGCACUCCGCCUGGGGAGUACGGUCGCAAGAUUAAAACUCAAAGGAAUUGAC
RNAcentral lists this ribosomal RNA (567 nucleotides) under uncultured Phenylobacterium sp. RNAcentral's name for it is "bacterial SSU rRNA". It matches the Rfam family "Bacterial small subunit ribosomal RNA", at positions 329 to 914 of the family's 1533-position model. Lineage: Bacteria; Pseudomonadati; Pseudomonadota; Alphaproteobacteria; Caulobacterales; Caulobacteraceae. The record is from RNAcentral.